ACCAUAUUUGGAUGGCGUAUGCAGCUCAAAACCUCAAUCUGAAGAAUUUUGAAUGUUAAAGGUGAGUUUUUUAAAAUUUCAGGAUGAUGCAGUGACUAAAUACUAUAAGCAGACUAGGCAAUCAAAAUAAACAUGGAAUCCAAAAAAGUCGAAUUGAAUAUAAAAGCAAAUAGGUAACCAAGUGUGAGAAGAAUUAUGAGUGGUUAAGCACAAAAUACUGCUUCAUUGUCCAAAACACAAGGGAAUUCCUGUCUAUAACAUUGUCCAUUCUCCACAUGAGCUUUCGACAAAUAAGCUAUCUUGAUAAAAGAGCUUAGUUUCGAUAAGAACCACUGAUGAGAAAAGAUUUAAAAUCCAAUUUCUGAAUAUAAGGGAUAAGUCUUUUUAGUCAUAGUGACUGAAUCAAGAUUGUGUUUAUUAGAUAAAACAUAAUAAGAUAAUAAAUAUAGCAGCGUAAGAAACAUAUCUCUGAGGUCACAACUGACAUUUCUACAUAGAACCACCAAGAUGGGAUAUUUUAGCAAAGCUGCAUUCAAGUUCCAGAAAUGAAAGCAGAUACAACAGAUAAACUACAGCAAUAAGAUCACAUAUACCAGUUGCAGUUGAAGAUUUAUCAAACCUGCAAGUGGUUAGCUAGUAUUUAACACUUGCUGAUACCAAUGGAUUUUAUAAAGACUGGAUUUUCUUAUUUCCUGCUUCGCUGCACCUAUAUUAAUGCAGCCUCUUGGUUUGAUGCUCUUUUUUAUUCAACUAAGAUAUCAAAACUUUGGUAAUGUGGCCUUUUGGUUUGAUGUACUUUUUUAUUUCAUUAAGACAUCAAAACUUUGAUGUGCAAAUCAUAUAUAAAAAAACAACUGAAGAUUGAGACUAGGCUAUAGAUAUAAGAUGGGAAAAGAUUUGAGAAAAAGAAAUAUAGCAUGAUAUUUCUGCAUACCUCUUGAUGAAAUUGUUUCAUUCCUUGAGUUGGAUCAGAUCGAAGAAUCUUAAUUGCAACAACAGUAUGAUCAAGGUUACAUUUGUAAACAGGUCCAUAUCCUCCCUCCCCAAUCUUUAAGGCAUCCAAAAAGUUAUCUGUCGCCUUCUGAAUCUCUUCAACAGUAUAUCUCCUAUAACGAAUGUUUGAAUGAAAACAAUCUGAAAAAUUCCUUUGAAGCAACGCCUUAGAGUUCUGCUCCUUUUCUGCCAUAUGUGGUCUCAUAUCUCCGGCCAACCUUGUCUCUUCCAUUCUCAGCGCUCCAUCAGCCUUGCCAUAAUUUGCCUGUAUUUGCAAAAAGACUAUUUCAUAUUGACUGCAGAAAACAAAUUCAUAAAUUGGAGGCAACAGAAACUUUGUGGGAGAGGAAAAAGAAGAGUGAGCAUUCAUCAGUGGGAAAUAAAAUGUGAACAUCUAUAAACUUUUAUUUGCUUCUAUAGAGUAUAAAAUGCCAUACAAGUAUGUUAAAAGUUAUAUUUAGUCGAGCCUCAAUGAAAGAAAAAUUAAUUUCUGUAUAGACGAAUUACAAGGCUUGGGAAAAUAUUGCUUCUGUAUACCAUAUGCGUAUCAUUUACCCCCAACCAAGUGGUGUUGCAUCAUCUAUGAGUUAAGAUUUUUUACACAAAUAAUAAGUUUCACAUAUUGUUUUGCAUUAUAUACCUCUUUACAAGUAUCUUCUGACAUAUCCUUCAUCUGCCUUGGCUCAAACUUCAGUCGUCUCAUCUUAGCUUUGAUGUCUUCCUGAAAAAUAUUGAUAUAAAAGAGUUUAAUGAAAAAUAGUGGUGAAUGCAGGCAUAAUCCAAAUGAAGGAACAAGAAAAUCAGCAUGACAAUUCCAAGCAAUUAGACAAUAUCUAAGGAAUCAUGCAGAGAGAGCUUCCCAGAGUAUUGUUUGUUCCUAACAUUUCUAGUGCUGCACUUUCUACAAGGACCAUAUUAUCUAAAGAGGUACGUAUAGACGGCAAGUGCUUAAUUCUUUGUCUAAAAGAAAAUGAUGUUGAAGGAUAAGUGGAACUACCAAGUUAUCAAUACCUUACACUAUGGGACAAAACCCUAAGAAAGUAGCAACCUGAUCUACUUGGAUCUCAUCCGGCCAGCAUCCAAAACUACUAAAACUCAUUGCCGCCAUAAGAUUUUGAGUGACAUUCUAUUAGCAUUUGCUUGUUCCACCCUGCCAUUACAUUCAAGCAAUGCAAUGUCACUAAAUACCCACCCAUUAAAAUUCCACCAACAGAAUUAUAUAGGAUUGGCAUGAGAAAUGUCAUCAAACACCCCCUC
Molecule: long non-coding RNA, 2250 nt
Filed under: Phoenix dactylifera (date palm)
Lineage: Eukaryota; Viridiplantae; Streptophyta; Magnoliopsida; Arecales; Arecaceae
Description: long non-coding RNA (PDAC_LNC000076)
Source: RNAcentral